This is a long non-coding RNA of Tarenaya hassleriana, 2122 nucleotides long. RefSeq lists it as uncharacterized. Lineage: Eukaryota; Viridiplantae; Streptophyta; Magnoliopsida; Brassicales; Cleomaceae. The record is from RefSeq and is a predicted model, not a curated record. The transcript has 4 exons.
AGCAAGUGUGUCAUUUGAGUGAUUUUUCCAAAAAAAAAAAUGGAGGUUUUCCCCUUUUUCCGCGUAUAAUUUCUUCUGUUUCUGAAACUGAUUUCCGACUCUAUUUUGCUGGGCGAAUCCCUAAUGUCCAACAGGAUUCUCUGCAAGUUCUUCAUCCAAGGCGCUUGCUUGAAAGGGGAGCAUGGCGAAUAUUCCCAUUACUCGAAUAAUAUUUGCCCAUUCUAUUAAAACAGGGAUCUGUUUCCAUGGAAGUAGAUUCGGAUUUGAACAUGUUGUUAGCUCUUCUCAGUGGCUAAUAUCCUCGUCACAGUCGGCACUUGGCGGUCACUAAGCACUGACUGUGAAUGUGAACCUGUAGCCCUCUCCUCUCAGCUCGGUAGUUUGCAAAAUGAUGUUGAUUAUGAAUGGGACAAUGAUCGAGUGUGAUCAUCCAUUCUGUAUCUGGAAUGGACGUGAAUAACACGUUCAGAGCGUGCCCUACAUGUCCUAAACGAUCAUUAUUUCAAUCCCGAAGAGAAAAAGGGAAUAAUCGGGCCGUUAUAAGGAAAAAAUCGGGUAUACUGCAUCAUUCUUUUUUGCUUAUGCAUGAUGGAAGCAUGAAAUGUUUUGCUAAAUUCGUCUCUGGUAGGUUAUUCAGCAACGGUUAUAGUGUUACAUGGUACCGCUGCAAUUUCAUAUGCCCCAAACUUGCAGGUCAAUAGAUUGCAAGAUCUUUAACUUUGGAAAUGGCAACGGUCCAUUUCUCUACAAGACGAGAUUCAAUGAGAGAGAGAAAGAUUCAAGAGAGGUCAAGACGGAAGACUCGGUAUUUUUUAGAAAGAAACUCAAAAAUUAAGUCCGAGGAUUGAAUUCCAACCAAGGGACAAACCCAUCUGCUCAAUUUCUUGCAUCAUUUCAGACCCGAAGAAAGCGAAGAACAUCUGAAAGAGUAAAAAGAAGCAUAUAAGUUAACAGAAAUGACUCGUCGAAUCUGAUUCUAAAUAACAGAGAAGGGUCUGAAAGCUGAAACGUGAUCAAGAACCAGAUUCGGACGUACACAAUUUCAGGUCUGCUUCACGCACACCCAACAUCGAAGCACUAUUAGUCCACCUUUCCACAGUAGCUGUCUCGGCAUCAAAGACAUGGAAGCAACUAAGAAGUACUCACCCAAUUGUUCCAUGGCAUUGGCUGGUAUGGUUUCGACAAGGUGUUCCUCGAUAUGUUUUUACUAUAUGACAGGCUUUCCUCAAUAGAUUACCAACCAGAAACAAGCUAGUUCGGCAGGGAGAAACUACGGAUACUAUCUGCAUACUACACCAAGAAGGUGUGGAAUCACACUCCCACCUUUUAUUCGAAUGUCUUUGGAAGCACUUUGCAGGUUGCUGCUGGACAAACCCGCCGACUACACUCCAAGACUGCCUCCAAUGGUUCUCCGACCCGAACCAUGUGAGGAAUGAACACAGAAUGAUAAUAGGGAAGCUCUUUCUACAAGUAGCUAUCUCCCUCAUAUAGGGGAACGAAAUGCACGGAUAUUUGCUUUGCUCGGACACAAGCGACAAAGGAAGAAUUAUGCCGGAGGCUUGACAUCACUAAUCCGGAACAUCCUGCUGUCUCACCGGAAGCCAAACACAGAGGAAUCCAAUCCUGGUCUGGUGGAAUCAAAACGACACCAAACUUAGGUUUCUUCUUUUAUUCUUCCAAAGGUUUUUUCUGUUCCACAGAGAGGCUCAAGUCCCAAUCAUGGAAUCCAUUUAUUUUGGAAACUCCGGUUCUUAUAACUGGCUGAUGUAAAGACGAAUCGUUACCAUUUAUUUAUAGAAAUUUACCUUACACAAAAAACGGUACAUUCGAGUUCAGUUGUGGUUCGAGCUCAAACUUACAAAGAAAUAUCAUAAAUGGUGCUAAAGAUUAAACACGCAGAUGACCUGAAGAAAGAUUUGCUACCGAUAAUAUAUUACAUGUAUCUGGACCAUGCAUAAGCAAAAAUAAAUGAUCGUAUAUUGCAAAGAUAUUUCUUUGUACACGCAAGUUUUGCAUUACAAGUGCCGACGCAGAAUCUCUGUCCUGACAGCGCUGAAGAGACGAAGCUCUCCGUCUCCUUUUCCCGUCGAACCAGAAAACCCAGAAUCCGCCAGCUACAAUC